This is a non-coding RNA of Nicotiana tabacum (common tobacco), 1220 nucleotides long. The record is from RefSeq and is a predicted model, not a curated record. NCBI's taxonomy places the organism in Eukaryota, Viridiplantae, Streptophyta, Magnoliopsida, Solanales, Solanaceae.
AGCAGCCAUUAACAAGAGAGAAGCCAGCCAUCUUCUCCAGACCCAUCACCUAUACACAAACCAGCCGCCUCCGCCAGUCACUCGACUCACCGGAAAAACAUCAGCAGCCCACCAUCGCCGCCGGCGUUAUCUGAAAAAAAAAUACAUGAAAGCUUAAGAGGAACAGGAGAAUGAACAAGAACCAAAGGAGAACGGAAAUGAGCAACAAAUUUCACUGCUUCAUCUCACAUUUUCUGGACGUUUACAAACAUAGAUGAAGCUGCCAUUUCUAUAUUAGAUCCAAGGCUAAGAUAACGUUUUUGGUAUAACAUGUUACAAAUCUCACAUAUAAAAAAGGAAUUUGUUCAAAAACAAGAAAAUCUGGACCAAAAAGAACUAAAGAAAAAUCAAACUUGAGAUGCAUAAUGAAAUCUAGGCUGUCUCUUUUGGUUUUGGUUUCCGAAUGGAGUGGAGGUGAAACGGGUAGUUGAUCGUUCGAGUUGCCGCUCGAGGUUGCCGUUUGUAGUUUCUGCCGAAGUUUCUAUUGUUGUGCUUGUUUUUCGAUCGAGUUCAAUCAUCGGAAUCCUCAGUAAGUUGGAAUCGUCGGAGAUUCAAAUACGUUUGAAAAUGAUUCAGACUUUGUUGGUGAGAGCAGAUCAAGCAUUUUCGAUGCCAAUGCUGGAAUUGCCUUGAGCAAGAACUUUGUGAAACUUGUGUUGUGGUAUGACAAUGAAAGGGGUUACAGCCCUCGUGUGAUUGAUUUGAUCUGCCAUAUGGCUUCUGUUGCUUAAGGAUUUGAUGCUGGUGAAAUGCCCUUUUAGUUCUUGAUUGAAUCAUAGGAGUAUUAGUUUUCUAUGGCCGGGAGUGAUCUUCUUGCUUAAUUCUAAUGGAAUAACCAGAGAGGAACUACUGUGUUGGCUAAAGAUAUGAAGUGCUAGAGAAUAUUUGAAGUUAGUUGUGAGGUAUAUGAAAAUUUCUACGUUGUUUAUAUAGCGAGUGAAUCUAGAGGUCAUGUAAUUACUAUUCGUAUUAUUUAAUUUGGAGAUGGGAACUCCACCAGAAGAGGCAAGAAUAAGUGGAAUUGCCAUAUCAAACAAAUAAAUGAUGGAGUUGAAAGAAAUUUAUGUCUCAUUAUAUGAUUUGGAAAAUAUAUAAUUAGAAUUCAAUCCCACAUCGGUGUCAGUGGAAUUUAUGAUAUAACAAAAGUCAACUAAUAGCAGUUGAAUUACUGUAUUACAUGA